RNAcentral lists this ribosomal RNA (219 nucleotides) under uncultured bacterium. Its description in RNAcentral is "partial 16S ribosomal RNA". It matches the Rfam family "Bacterial small subunit ribosomal RNA", at positions 1284 to 1500 of the family's 1533-position model. The record is from RNAcentral.
AUUCUCAGUUCGGAUUGUAGGCUGAAACUCGCCUACAUGAAGCUGGAGUUACUAGUAAUCGCAGAUCAGAAUGCUGCGGUGAAUGCGUUCCCGGGUCCUGUACACACCGCCCGUCACACCACGGAAGUUGGGGGCGCCCGAAGCCACUUAGCUAACCCUUUUGGGAAGCGAGUGUCGAAGGUGAAAUCAAUAACUGGGGUGAAGUCGUAACAAGGUAGC